Long non-coding RNA from Eriocheir sinensis (Chinese mitten crab), 565 nucleotides. RefSeq lists it as uncharacterized. NCBI's taxonomy places the organism in Eukaryota, Metazoa, Arthropoda, Malacostraca, Decapoda, Varunidae. The record is from RefSeq and is a predicted model, not a curated record. The transcript has 3 exons.
UGACGAUGUUGACGAUCAGAUAAUGGGUCAAGCCGCAUUAGAAGUUGAAGCCAUGGAUAACACAUCCCAAGCUGAAGCCGUGGAUAACACAUCACAUCCCAGAAACGGAGCGGAUGUUGGUGGUGGUGAGGUGGGGGAUGUUCCAGAAACUCCCAAGUCUACCGGUGAACAUAUCACGGGCGAGUCAUUGGGCAACAACAACCGCGGCGCGUUGGGAGGUGUCGGUAAAAUGGGGCGGUGUGUGCUGAGGGAAGGAUGUGAUACCUCCAUUACCAGUGUCUCAUCUGAAGAACGACCCACCGGACAGCGUAACGCAUAUCCACGGCAACAACAACAGACACGCUUCGGUGAUGGUGUGUCUUGACUCUCCGUCGGGCGCUGAAUCGCGAGAGCGGCGGCGAAGUCGUCUGCAGCAAAAAGAUCAUGAAAUGCGUCAAUCACGACUGGAAAAAAAAAUGCAGCAUAUGGCGGAAGUGUUGCGGCCGCGCCCACUUCUGACUUGACAUACCCCGCUUGACCUUUCUUGGAAGUGUCAUAGGCGGGGUGGGUGGUGGGGAAGUUACUA